UGAACUCCGGGUCGCAUUUUGGAGUGUUCAUAUUGAAACCAGUGACACCCAAGAAGUUUUUCUCUUUUCUUUUCAAGCACCCGUGUGAAGCUUAUUGGAGACCCAAAUUUGAUAAGGGCACCCAGCUGCUAUUUUUACUCGUCCACUUUUUCUUUUCUUCUUAUUUUUCCUUUUCUCCUCGGCCAUUCUGCUUCUCCCUUUUCACCGCCUCGCAGUGCCGUAUCAGAACACUGCGAACUUGGCGCUAAGCUUUUACCAAGUGAAAUUGGAUAUGGAUUUGAAGAGGUAACUUGAUCUGGAGAUGGAAGCACGCAUGGGUCUUCAACUAGAAGGAAUUUCUCAACUCUUGAAGCUCGAACUUUGCUGUAUUGCUUCUUCCUGUGAGAAAUUGGCUUUCUUCAAAAUUUCGGGGCAUGUCUUUUGGUGUCUGCAUAUUCUUCCACUUACUUUGCUGGGAUUGCAUUUUGUGAUUCUCUCCUGAACACUUGGUGAGUUGGGAUUGCAUUUCGUGCUUCUCUGCUGAAUGCCUGGUGAGCGCUAAGACGGGCAUAUCCACUUGAACGUGGCUUCCCAAAAAACGCAAGUGCAAGCGAGGGCUUUGACAGCAAACGCCAUUUCACCGCUGGGAUUUGGUGGACAAAGUUGUUGGAAAUACUCCAAGAGAACAUCAAGGGUGAACUUUCCUCUCCAGACACCAAUUUUGAUGAUUUGUGGUUUGUCUCGCUUGGUCAAUUCCUUGUGUGGCUUGUUUGCAAGUGGUGCAAGGCCAUUUGUUGUGUUGCGGUGGAAAGGAAGGCAGGAGGUAGAAGACUUUUGGUGGUGACCGUUGUUGCUUCUGCAAAACAGCUCUUGUGGAGGCAAAUGGGCAUUGUCCUUGUAUGAUGACACUGUUUUCUGCUGCAAAGCACUUGUUGGUACUCAACAAGGCUUAAAAAAUUCCACCGGAUUGGUCAUACACCCAUUGAUACACAUGUAUCGUAAACGGGAUUGCGACCGCUCCGGGGACCUCCAUAGCUCCAUGGUGACACAGGUAAAAGAGAUGCUGCACAGAAAAAGAAAGUAGCACGGGUGGAUCAGAGAGGCCCCAACCUUUGUAUUGGUUGCUUGUUGGCUUCUUGCUUCGAUCAAAAUUGCUGAAAUGCUUCCUCUCUCCUCUGCAGCAAGCUUCACCUCUUUCUUGAUGUAUUUCCUGUGUCCGCUUCUGCUCCCCUCUAGCCUUUUCUGCUCCUCCUUCGUUGCCUCUCUGCUGCCUUCCAGUCCUUCUCCCCAGCCUUUUUUGCUUCUGCUCUCCUGAGUCUCCUCCUCUGCUUUUGCUCGACUCCUCCCCUUUGCUUGUGAGGUUGAGCCUUUUUAUAGGCAGCUGAGAACCCAAACGGUUGGUUGGAGAUGAGGAUAACAUGCAAUUUAAAUUCAAAUUUGAAGCUAUAAUCUGUCACUUUGAAGAUGAUCACAGCAGCAACAAAACUCCAAUUUUCACGUUGGAAGCUUGAACUGGUAGCUUUGUUUAUUCAAACUUUGGAUAGGUACAAAUCUCUUUCAUCUUGA
Long non-coding RNA from Rosa chinensis, 1545 nucleotides. RefSeq lists it as uncharacterized. The record is from RefSeq and is a predicted model, not a curated record. The transcript is spliced from 5 exons. NCBI's taxonomy places the organism in Eukaryota, Viridiplantae, Streptophyta, Magnoliopsida, Rosales, Rosaceae.